This is a long non-coding RNA of Coregonus clupeaformis (lake whitefish), 655 nucleotides long. RefSeq lists it as uncharacterized. The transcript has 4 exons. Lineage: Eukaryota; Metazoa; Chordata; Actinopteri; Salmoniformes; Salmonidae. The record is from RefSeq and is a predicted model, not a curated record.
CUAGCUGCUUGGAGGAUGUCAUGUCAUUGGAGGAAUGGACACACAUCCGACAGGAGAGCGUGGCCCCCAGAGGCAGACAGGGGAUUGUCAGCAGAGUUCCAUCUCUACCGGAUGACAUCGUUAUCACUGAAAAGGUUUUAAUCCUGGAGGAGACCAUGGAGACUGUGCAGUAGGAGCCAAAGGUGUUACAUGCACCCCAUGUUAUUUGAAAGAAUGGUUAGUACUGCUUGCCAAACUGACCGCUGGGUGCCAAAGUCCUUGUGAUGUGUUAGAGAAGAGAACCACCUGGACCAUCACUCCAGAGCUGAAGGCCCAGCUAGACUGUGCUCACGUCCGUCUGUAAACGACCAAGUCUGGCCACUUUCCAGCACAGAUCAUUGAGGAGCUGACUGAGAGUGAGAGUAAGGACCUGGACUCACUGUAUGAGCCUACGAGAAGCAGCUCAGAAUCACAAUCGUCACAGUGCGAGCCAGGAGUUUCUAUCGAAGAGUGUGUGCAAGAAGCAAAAUACAUUGUCUUCGAUAGCAAACUGACAGAGCUGAUUAAUGUCUGCCAUGAGCCAGGAUGUAGGGUGUCCAAUAAAAAACGCAUAUUUUGACCAAUGGGUAAAAUAAUAUGUUAAUUGUGUAGAUAAUCCUCUAAGAAAACCAAUGGU